This 459-nucleotide ribosomal RNA is filed under the name uncultured bacterium. RNAcentral describes it as "partial 16S ribosomal RNA". It matches the Rfam family "Bacterial small subunit ribosomal RNA", at positions 338 to 795 of the family's 1533-position model. The record is from RNAcentral.
CCUACGGGUGGCAGCAGUGAGGAAUAUUGGUCAAUGGGCGCUAGCCUGAACCAGCCAAGUAGCGUGAAGGAUGACUGCCCUAUGGUUUGUAAACUUCUUUUAUAUGGGAAUAAGGUGCAGUAUGUAUACUGCUUUGCAUGUACCUUAUGAAUAAGGAUCGGCUAACUCCGUGCCAGCAGCCGCGGUAAUACGGAGGAUGCGAGCGUUAUCCGGAUUUAUUGGGUUUAAAGGGUGGGCAGGCGGAAGAUCAAGUCAGCGGUAAAAUUGAGAGGCUCAACGUCUUCGAGCCGGGGAAACUGGUUUUCUUGAGUGAGUGAGAAAUAUGCGGAAUGCGUGGUGUAGCGGUGAAAUGCAUAGAUAUCACGCAGAACUCCGAUGGCGAAGGCAGCAUAUUGGCGCUCAACUGACGCUCAUGCACGAAAGUGUGGGUAUCGAACAGGAUUAGAUACCCUAGUAGUC